UGGGGAAUAUUGCACAAUGGGCGCAAGCCUGAUGCAGCCAUGCCGCGUGUGUGAAGAAGGCCUUCGGGUUGUAAAGCACUUUCAGCGGGGAGGAAGGCGUUAAGGUUAAUAACCUUGGCGAUUGACGUUACCCGCAGAAGAAGCACCGGCUAACUCCGUGCCAGCAGCCGCGGUAAUACGGAGGGUGCAAGCGUUAAUCGGAAUUACUGGGCGUAAAGCGAACGCCGGCGGUCUGUCAAGUCGGAUGUGAAAUCCCCGGGCUCAACCUGGGAACUGCAUUAGAAACUGGCAGGAUAGAGGCUUGUAGAGGGGGGUAGAAUUCCAGGUGUAGCGGUGAAAUGCGUAGAGAUCUGGAGGAAGACCGGUGGCGAAGGCGGCCCCCUGGACAAAGACUGACGCUCAGGUGCGAAAGCGUGGGGAGCAAACAGG
RNAcentral lists this ribosomal RNA (429 nucleotides) under Chloroflexota bacterium. Its description in RNAcentral is "Chloroflexi bacterium partial 16S ribosomal RNA". It matches the Rfam family "Bacterial small subunit ribosomal RNA", at positions 355 to 776 of the family's 1533-position model. Lineage: Bacteria; Bacillati; Chloroflexota. The record is from RNAcentral.